Molecule: ribosomal RNA, 209 nt
Filed under: uncultured bacterium
Lineage: Bacteria
Description: partial 16S ribosomal RNA
Rfam family: Bacterial small subunit ribosomal RNA
Source: RNAcentral
ACGCUCGACACCUCGGGAGCAGCAGUGGGGAAUAUUGGGCAAUGGAGGCAACUCUGACCCAGCAACGCCGCGUGAGUGAUGAAGGUCUUCGGAUUGUAAAACUCUUUAAGUAGGGACGAAGAAAGUGACGGUACCUACAGAAUAAGCCUCGGCUAACUACGUACNCGCNGCCGCCGGUAAGUACUGAGCGGGCCGGUGGCGAACGGACG